UUUUUUUCUAGGUCCCGCAUCCGGCCGAUCUACGGCAUCCUGCUCGCCGAUUUCGACUGUGGACCAUCGUCGUUCACCGCCGAUAUCGUCUACGAUCUCCCACUAAUGCAAUAACAAUCGCCUUUCCACGUUUCCGUUAUCCAUCGACGCAAAACACGCUGCUCGGACGAAGGGAGGAAAAAAUCAAACGUAAAAAUAUCCGUGUGCAAGGACGAGGUGUACCUGUUACCCGCAAUCAGCAAGAAUUCAGCGAGACAUGAAUUCCAUUUAUGCACGUGUAUGCAGCGAUUAGCGCGUUUCUUCGUAUGCAGUUCAGACAAGAAUUACGAGAAUCGUCGGGUAAACCAUCCGAUCUUCUUACGAACGAACGUGCGAGUCGAUUCCUCCGACGAGAACACCUUGCGAUCAAUAAUCAUCUAGUUCAUCGGGGAAUCGGGAAAAUAAAAGCUCGUCCCGGAUACCGUCGACUUUCAUCGCACUAGAAAGCACAGGCGUUGCCGUGGAAUCGCGUUAGGAUAACUCGGGGGAAAGGCAUUUUGCGUGGAUGUCCAAGCGAGGAAAACUGAUCAAGGAUCUACCUUCGCGGCCAUGAUCGAUUACGCUUUCCGCGAAACGCGACGAAUUGAAACAAACAGCUGUUCGCGGAAAAGACCAGUUCGGUAAGCACGUCAUUUUACGAGAAUCAAUCGAUGAUUAUCGCGAAUCGCGUGGCGAUCGAAUUCUUUGCAAAUACCACUUCUCCAGUGCUUUUUGAAGAAGUUUCGUGCAAGGUGUGUUCCGUCGUACCGUUAAAAUUCCCCGUGCACGCUGUCCGACACGUCGGUAAAUUACAAGGCCGUUUCUUGUUCUUCGAUGACGACGUACUUUGCAUGUCAACGUCGCCGACAGUCCACGAUAACGCACCCGUUUCGAAAAUAAAGAAGAUAACAAAUUACAGUAAA
This is a long non-coding RNA of Megalopta genalis, 941 nucleotides long. RefSeq lists it as uncharacterized. NCBI's taxonomy places the organism in Eukaryota, Metazoa, Arthropoda, Insecta, Hymenoptera, Halictidae. The record is from RefSeq and is a predicted model, not a curated record.